AGCUUUGCGCAGUGGCAGUAUCGUAGCCAAUGAGGUUUAUCCGAGGCGCGAUUAUUGCUAAUUGAAAACAUAUAGCACAUAUCUAUAUCAUGAAAUAUUGCCCAGUAAUAAAAAGUAAUACAUUAUUGACACAUAAAAUUGGAU
This is a small nuclear RNA of Mustela lutreola (European mink), 144 nucleotides long. RefSeq annotates it as U4 spliceosomal RNA. The record is from RefSeq and is a predicted model, not a curated record. The transcript has a single exon. Lineage: Eukaryota; Metazoa; Chordata; Mammalia; Carnivora; Mustelidae.